GACGAACGCUGGCGGCGUGCUUAACACAUGCAAGUCGAACGGAAAGGCCCUGCUUUUGUGGGGUGCUCGAGUGGCGAACGGGUGAGUAACACGUGAGUAACCUGCCCUUGACUUUGGGAUAACUUCAGGAAACUGGGGCUAAUACCGGAUAGGAUCUCCUGCUGCAUGGAGGGGGUUGGAAAUUUUCGGCGGUUGGGGAUGGACUCGCGGCUUAUCAGCUUGUUGGUGGGGUAGGGGCUUACCCAGGCAUUGACGGGUAGCCGGCCUGAGAGGGUGACCGGCCACAUUGGGACUGCGAUACGGGCCAGACUCCUACGGGAGGCAGCAGUGGGGAAUAUUACACAAUGGGCGGAAGCCUGAUGCAGCAACGCCGCGUGCGGGAUGACGGCCUUCGGGUUGUAAACCGCUUUCGCCUGUGACGAAGCGUGAGUGACGGUAAUGGGUGAAGAAGCACCGGCUAACUACGUG
RNAcentral lists this ribosomal RNA (468 nucleotides) under uncultured bacterium. Its description in RNAcentral is "partial 16S ribosomal RNA". It matches the Rfam family "Bacterial small subunit ribosomal RNA", at positions 28 to 507 of the family's 1533-position model. The record is from RNAcentral.